Molecule: ribosomal RNA, 453 nt
Filed under: uncultured bacterium
Lineage: Bacteria
Description: bacterial SSU rRNA
Rfam family: Bacterial small subunit ribosomal RNA
Source: RNAcentral
AACGUACGCUGGCGGCACGCCUAACACAUGCAAGUCGAACGAAGUAGCAAUACUUAGUGGCAGACGGGUGAGUAACAUGUAGGUAUCUGCCCUUUGGCCUGGAAUAACACGAGGAAACUUGUGCUAAUACCUCAUAAGUCUUUACGGAGAAAGCUUUAUGCGCCAAUGGAUGAGCCCGCACUUGAUUAGUUUGUUGGUGAGGUAAUGGCUCACCAAGACUUUGAUCAAUAGCUGAUUUGAGAGGAUGAUCAGCCACAUUGGGACUGAGACACGGCCCAAACUCCUACGGGAGGCAGCAGUAGGGAAUCUUGCACAAUGGGGGAAACCCUGAUGCAGCGAUGCCGCGUGAGUGAAGAAGGCCUUUGGGUUGUAAAGCUCUUUCGUCGGGGAAGAAAAUGACUGUACCCGAAUAAGAAGGUCCGGCUAACUUCGUGCCAGCAGCCGCGGUAAUAC